This 402-nucleotide ribosomal RNA is filed under the name uncultured bacterium ECS27. RNAcentral describes it as "bacterial SSU rRNA". It matches the Rfam family "Bacterial small subunit ribosomal RNA", at positions 1078 to 1482 of the family's 1533-position model. The record is from RNAcentral.
GAUUAAACCCCGCAACGAGCGCAACCCUUGCCCUUAGUCGCCACCUUAAGGUGGGCACUCUAAGGAGACUGCCGGUGACAAACCAGAGGAAGGUGGGGCACGACGUCAAGUCAUCAUGGCCCUUACGUGUAGGGCUACACACGUGCUACAAUGGCAUUUACAGAGGGAAGCGAGACAGUGAUGUGGAGCGGACCCCUUAAAGAAUGUCGUAGUCCGGAUUGGAGUCUGCAACUCGACUCCAUGAAGUCGGAAUCGCUAGUAAUCGCAGGUCAGAAUACUGCGGUGAAUACGUUCCCGGGCCUUGUACACACCGCCCGUCACACCAUGGGAGUGGGAUGCAAAAGAAGUAGUUAGUCUAACUUCGGGAGGACGAUUACCACUUUGUGUUUCAUGACUGGGGUG